Bolinopsis microptera is the source of this 983-nucleotide long non-coding RNA. RefSeq lists it as uncharacterized. The transcript is spliced from 2 exons. NCBI's taxonomy places the organism in Eukaryota, Metazoa, Ctenophora, Tentaculata, Lobata, Bolinopsidae. The record is from RefSeq and is a predicted model, not a curated record.
GAGAAAGAUUACGAGGAUCUGUGGAAGGAAUACAACAAAGAAUUGCUUGGAGAACCUUUCCUUCCCUCAAAAUUCAAGGUAAAAGACAACACUGCAUUCUCCAUGUCACCCGAGUUCCAGAUAGUGGUAGCCCAGAAGAAAGCUGAAGUUGGAGAGUGUUUAUCGAAGAUAGGUGAAGAACACUCGGAGGAUAACUGUCUUGUCUAUCAGUCACCUAUGUCUGAGGAAAUAGAUCUGGAAGUGGAAGCUGACAUUGAAGAAUGAUGAUAAAUCACUCUACACUCGACUGUCACGUGACUUUUUAAACACGUUCUGUAGCUGGCCGUGAAUGGCUAUUCGAAAUCCUAGCCCUCUAAUGACUAAUCUGAUCCCAACCCUAACCCUAACCAAAUCUUUAACAAAAGCAUAUGCUGAAACCCUAACUCUAACGAGAAAUUAGACAAACUUUCUUAUUAUACGCUCAUAUAUCGCCAGGGGAGCAUUUUGACCCUAUAUCAUGGGGUCAUGGGGGUGAUUCGGAAUCAGCCUCCAAAAAUACAUCGAUUCAGGUUGGUCUCAACUGUCGGGGGCCCUUUUAGAAGUAUCUCGAAGAUCGACUGUAGAGUGACUAAGCACGUUCGGACAUUGGACUUAAAACAAUGUAAUUUGAAGCAUUUGAAACCACUUAUAAGAUACAUAUUUAUUAAAAUAUGUAGUAAGAUAGAAGAACACGGGGCUAUUUAGACGAACCCCUUGAUGAAUGAUGAUGAUCAAUUUCUGUAUUUUAUCGCCAGACUGUCCCGUCCCCCGAAGUAAGGGUUCGAGCAUAUUUUGAGCCAUAUGUCGUGGUAUGUAUUACAGCCAUGUAUAAAAUUAUCAUAUGCAUGAUCUACAUUCUACAUUCUACAUUACCCAUUUAUAGUUUACACAUUAGUCAUGUUUACUUUGUUCAUGUUGCAAUAUUAAAAUGAUUUGAUGUGUUCAUUUCUAUGUUUAUCGACAAA